UGAAACAAAUACAAAAUACAUAAAAUACUGUAAUUUUAUGGUUUACCUAAGACCUGCCUGACUCAACCUUUUCAUAAGAUUUACAGAAUGCCUGGAACAUCCACAUCAGAGUUUUUGUUUUGUCUUAAAGAUGAAAGUAUCCAUUCUAUUUUUUAAAAUUUCUCUUCUUCCCAGUCUUUCCAAUAAUCCAGAAUAGCAGCAUUGCCCUUUUGUAUCCCGGAUGCAAUGGAGCUCAACAUAAAGCAACUGAAUCAGAAAAUGAAACGUCCAGUUUACUUGUAAUCUAGCUUAAAGUAUUUGCCCUCCAACUCACUUUUUUUGUUUUUAAACAAAUGGAAAUCUAUAAAAAACUGACUGUUCUGACUUCAAAGUCACUAAAGAUCAAGAUAAGAAGACUGCUCACCAGCGUGGGAACUGCUCUAAAGCUGCUCCGUAACGCCAGAUGCAUCCAGAGUGGAGAACUCCGAAAGAGCCUCCGGUGAUCUGACACUGGCACUGCCCAUCAGCAGAGAAAGGAUGGCCUCCUGUGCCUGAAUGUGACAGCCAGGUCACUAUGUAAGCCAGGCAACUAUGUAGUAUCAGAGAAUCUUUAUGACAUUACAGUAGGAAAUAAUUAUUUAAACAUGAUAAAAAAUAUGGUGACUCUAUUAAAUAUCUUGACUAUAUUAAAACAAAGAGUUUCUACUAAUUAAAGACAUAUCUAAGAGAAUGAAAAAUGACCUCUGCAUCAAGGUAUCGAGACAGAACAAAAGCAUCUAGCUUCGCUCUCUCCCUACAUUCCACUGAAAAUAAAACAAAGAGAUUAUUUUUAAUAAAAUACGUAAGUAUGAGAAAAAGCCAAGAGACAAAGCUACAACAUUUUGAAAGUUGGAAAACAGAUGGAUAAAUAAGAACUAAAAGUUUGUCAGUGAGAUAACUGAAAAGGCUGGCUCACAGGCCAGUGGUAGGAAACACGAAGAGCGGAGUUAAAAGCAGGAGCAGAUUGAUCUAAGAUGGCGACUGUCAAACCAGAAACCACCCCUACUCCUAAUCCCCCCAUGGAAGAGGAGAAAACAGAAUCUAAUCAGGAGGUUGCUAACCCAGAACACUACAUUAAACGUCCUCUACAGAAAAGAUGGGCACUCUGGUUUUUUUAAAAAUGAUAAAAGCAAAACUUGGCAAGCAAACCUGCCGCUGAUCUCUAAGUUUGAUCUUGUUGAAGACUUUCGGGCUCUAUACAACCAUAUCUAGUUGUCUAGUAAUUUAAUGCCUGUCUGUGACUACUCACUUUUUAAGGAUGGUAUUGAGCCUAUGUGGGAAGAUAAGAAAAACAAACGGGGAGGAUGAUGGCUAAUUUACAUUGAACAAACAGCAGAGACAAAGGGACCUCGAUCACUUUUGGCUAGAGACUCUACUGGGCCUUAUUGGAGAAUCUUUUAAUGACUAGAGUGAUGAUGUAUGUAAAGCUGUGGUUAAUGUUAGAGCCAAAGGUGAUAAGAUAGCAGUAUGGACUACUGAAUGUGAAAACAGAGAAGCUGUUACACAUUUGGGAGGGUAUAUACAAGGAAAGGUUAGGACUUCCUCCAAACAUAGUGACUGGUUAUCAGUCCCACGCAGACACAGCUACUAAAACAGUUCCACCACUAAAAAUAGGUUUGUUGUUUAAGAAGACACCUUCUGAGUAUUCUCAUAAGAGACCAAGUCAAGCAAUCGAGAUUUUGGAGCUGAAUCAAA
Molecule: non-coding RNA, 1713 nt
Organism: Chlorocebus sabaeus (green monkey)
Lineage: Eukaryota; Metazoa; Chordata; Mammalia; Primates; Cercopithecidae
Source: RefSeq, a predicted model, not a curated record